This 629-nucleotide ribosomal RNA is filed under the name Klebsiella indica. Its description in RNAcentral is "Bacterial small subunit ribosomal RNA". It matches the Rfam family "Bacterial small subunit ribosomal RNA", at positions 1 to 621 of the family's 1533-position model. Lineage: Bacteria; Pseudomonadati; Pseudomonadota; Gammaproteobacteria; Enterobacterales; Enterobacteriaceae. The record is from Rfam by way of RNAcentral.
AAAUUGAAGAGUUUGAUCAUGGCUCAGAUUGAACGCUGGCGGCAGGCCUAACACAUGCAAGUCGAACGGUAACACAGAGAGCUUGCUCUCGGGUGACGAGUGGCGGACGGGUGAGUAAUGUCUGGGAAACUGCCCGAUGGAGGGGGAUAACUACUGGAAACGGUAGCUAAUACCGCAUAAUGUCGCAAGACCAAAGAGGGGGACCUUAGGGCCUCUUGCCAUCGGAUGUGCCCAGAUGGGAUUAGCUUGUUGGUGAGGUAACGGCUCACCAAGGCGACGAUCCCUAGCUGGUCUGAGAGGAUGACCAGCCACACUGGAACUGAGACACGGUCCAGACUCCUACGGGAGGCAGCAGUGGGGAAUAUUGCACAAUGGGCGCAAGCCUGAUGCAGCCAUGCCGCGUGUAUGAAGAAGGCCUUCGGGUUGUAAAGUACUUUCAGCGGGGAGGAAGGCGGUGAGGUUAAUAACCUUACUGAUUGACGUUACCCGCAGAAGAAGCACCGGCUAACUCCGUGCCAGCAGCCGCGGUAAUACGGAGGGUGCAAGCGUUAAUCGGAAUUACUGGGCGUAAAGCGCACGCAGGCGGUCUGACAAGUCGGAUGUGAAAUCCCCGGGCUCAACCCGGGAAC